AGAAAACCUCUCAGCAACGGAUAUCUUGGCUCUUGCAACGAUAAAAAACGCAGCGAAAUGCGAUACGUAGUGUGAAUUGCACAAUUCCGCGAAUCAUCGAGUUUUUGAACGCAAGUUGCGCCCGAGGCUUGUCCGAAGGGCAUUUCCGCUAGAGCGUCACC
RNAcentral lists this ribosomal RNA (161 nucleotides) under Bryum yuennanense. RNAcentral describes it as "5.8S ribosomal RNA". It matches the Rfam family "5.8S ribosomal RNA". From Rfam's summary of the family: 5.8S ribosomal RNA (5.8S rRNA) is a component of the large subunit of the eukaryotic ribosome. It is transcribed by RNA polymerase I as part of the 45S precursor that also contains 18S and 28S rRNA. The record is from RNAcentral. Lineage: Eukaryota; Viridiplantae; Streptophyta; Bryopsida; Bryales; Bryaceae.